Molecule: ribosomal RNA, 493 nt
Filed under: uncultured bacterium
Lineage: Bacteria
Description: partial 16S ribosomal RNA
Rfam family: Bacterial small subunit ribosomal RNA
Source: RNAcentral
AACGAACGCUGGCGGCGCGUCUUAAACAUGCAAGUCGAACGGCAGGAAGGGGCUUGCCCCUUCUGAGAGUGGCGGACUGGUGAGUAACACGUGGGUGACAUACCUUUUAGUUGGGGAUAGCUAUUAGAAAUAGUAGGUAAUACCGAAUGUGACCGUACCUGUUAGAGGGGUACGAGGAAAGGAGCUAAGGCUUCGCUAAAAGAAUGGCUCGCGGCCCAUUAUGCUCGUUGGUGAGGUAACGGCCCACCAAGGCGAUGAUGGGUAUCCGGCCUGAGAGGGUGAACGGACACAUUGGGACUGAGAUACGGCCCAGACUUCUACGGGAGGCAGCAGUUAAGAAUAUUCCGCAAAGGACGAAAGUCUGACGGAGCGACGCCGCGUGGAUGAAGAAUGCCGAAAGGUUGUAAAAUCCUUUUAAGCCUGAUGAAUAAGCACAGUAGGGAAUGAUGGUGCGGUGACCGUAGGGCUUGAAUAAGCACCGGCUAAUUACGUG